GUAACUACUAGUGGGCACUUCUUGUCACAUCGUAACAUACAAAGGUGUCAAACAACAAGAGACAUACCUCGCUACAAAGGAUACCACUGACACGAACAGAAGAUCUACGACAGUACAGUAUUUAUUUGAAAAGAACGAGAAGCCCACCUGAUUCAACACAUUUACAAGGACGACAAAACCAUUGACAUCGGAGAAAGAAAAACUAGCGGAUGUCAUUAAGCUUCCUGGUGAUAACAGUUCAACGACGCGUGUCGGAAUGUGAUAAAUGAUAGCAGUUUGUAUGUCCAUAGAGGGGAGAAGACAGACCCCUACACACGCUGCUGAUCUUUGAUAGGUGAAUGUGGUACAAACGAUCGAGGAUAUAAGUUUGACAGAGAUUUCGUGUAAGAAAGGACAAGCAGAGGUGGUGGCCACAGAGCUAGUGUGUCAAGGAGUGUCUGCUCAAGAAAACUGCAUUUAGAGACCAUUGUUCGACCUCUGCUAACUGCUUCAAAUACUGGUUACCAUGAGCCGUUAGAACUUAGUCACUGUUGGGUAGAAGGUGAGAGGUCAAGGUAUCAACCGACUCGAGUACGGCUGUAUGAUCGCUUUGGUACACUGGUGUGUGAUGCGGGGCAGGAGACACAGAUUAAUUGUUACUUCCAUUUUUAGUGAUUUAAUGAUUAAUUUGACCAGCUGUGUUGAAUAUUUAUUAUUUUUCAGUUUUAGUUUAAUUUUAUUCCGUCUCCUUUCCUAAAAAUAGAUCUUUCAUUUAAACAAGAACAAUGUCUUUAUCCUAUUUGGCAACAGUAUCUAGUAUGUCUUGUUGAUAUCGCUUCAUUUUGUGACACCUUGGAACCUCAACCCUGGCAGUUAUUUAUUAGUAGCUUUCCUCUUCGCCUUUUUAGUCUGUCCCCUUUGUUUUUGUACUUUGUAAACAUUUUUCGCGUAGUUGUUUCUUGUGCAACUCGGCUUUUCUGUAGUUCUAGUGAGCUCAGUGCCAGCUGAUACAUUGAAACGAUCUCGCUCUAUCAGACAGUCUUUAUUUAUUUAUUGAAUUACCCCUAUAUACGGUCACCAUGGUAGAAAUUGUAAGAAAACGAAAUACUUUCAGAAAUAUAGCUAAAAAAAUCUCUAUAUUAUAUGAAACAAGACACCAAUCACUAACAAAAUACUUUUGAUAAAUAACAGAGAUAUAGGAUUAUGAAAGAACUGACUCAAGCAUUUGGUUUCAUUCAAGACCAAAUGGACGCGUUGGUAGGCGGUGUUAAUGCCAAUCACAACUGUUGUCAAGAAGUGAGUCCCAUGUUUGUUGUGUAACCUUGUUGCUAGGGGGGAGUCAAUAAAAGGCUAUCGUUGCUGCCUUGAGGUGGGCACCCGUUAGUAUCUUAUCAAGCAGCAAUGAAGACAUUAGCUAUCUACAGUUUCCUUGCUCUUCUGCUCAUGCUGCAUGGUCAUUGGACUGCAGCAACUUCAACUUCAGCUUCAACUGACGCAUCAACAUCAGCGCAUUCAACUGCAGCUCCUACAACCACGUCACCAGGGAAUGGAAAUGCAGGCAAUGGAAGUGUAACUACUACCGCAACAGCGAUGAACAGCACGGCUACAUAUGUAGCGAUGUCCUGGCUGCCAGGCAGCAUCUUCAUGUUGACUGUUCUUCCACUUGGUCUCUUCUAAAACCUAGGCAGAUGUCCAGAUGAGGAGAUAUGUUCAGUCGACUACCAUUUCAACUCUGUAGUGCCUGGCAUCAUCAUGUGACUUACUGGACACUUUUUCUCCACAUGCAAUUGUUUUUCUCAACAACUGAACACUCUUUAAAAUAGGAAUUAAGAAGAGUCAUCCCUUGUGUAUCUAUACACUCAAACAUACACACAAAUACAUUCUGUCCAGCUAGAGACAUGUGAGUCCACGUGGGCAUAAACACAUCAAUAACAACAAAAUUUCAGUCGAGAUGAAACACGUAUCUGUUUUUUUUUUAUCUUGCUGCUUGUGACUGUUUUUUUAUUACAGAAUUUGUUUUCCAUUCUCUCUCUCUCUCUUAAUCUCUAUGGUAACUAAACUCACAAGUUUAAUAUGAACUAAGACAUGUAUAGUCUUAGGGAUUGUAUUACCAAGGAGGAAAGAAGAGAAUUCCACUUUCAAAGACCUUUCUUUUUAGAUAAUUUUAAUAAUUUAAUUGUUUUUACCUGUGUUGUUUCUUCCCUCUCUUUUAACUUAGUAUUAUUGUUUUUCUUAUUUUUAUCCUUUUGCUUUUCUUCCAAAGUUGCUAUUGCUAGCAUUUGACUAUACACCCUGCUGUCAUUCUUUCUUUAUCUGAUAGGUCUUAAUAGUAAAAUAAAGUUCAUCUAUUGCAGCUUU
Molecule: long non-coding RNA, 2337 nt
Filed under: Pomacea canaliculata
Lineage: Eukaryota; Metazoa; Mollusca; Gastropoda; Architaenioglossa; Ampullariidae
Description: uncharacterized LOC112572466, transcript variant X2
Source: RNAcentral